GUCGGCGGCCAAGCGAAAGCGUUAAGUGUCCCACCUGGGGAGUACGCCGGCAACGGUGAAACUCAAAGGAAUUGACGGGGGCCCGCACAAGCGGAGGAACAUGUGGUUUAAUUCGAUGAUACGCGAGGAACCUUACCCGGGCUUGAACUGCGCCUGAAUGUGCCGGAAACGGUGCAGCCGCAAGGCAGGCGCGGAGGUGCUGCAUGGUUGUCGUCAGCUCGUGCCGUGAGGUGUCGGCUUAAGUGCCAUAACGAGCGCAACCCCUUCCGGCAGUUGCCAUCAGGUGAUGCUGGGUACUCUGCCGGUACUGCCAUCGUAAGAUGCGAGGAAGGUGGGGAUGACGUCAAAUCAGCACGGCCCUUACGUCCGGGGCUACACACGUGUUACAAUGGGGGGUACAGAGGGCUGCCAGCCGGCGACGGCGCGCGAAUCCCGAAAUCCCCUCCCAGUUCGGACUGGAGCCUGCAACCCGGCUCCACGAAGCUGGAUUCGCUAGUAAUCGCGCAUCAGCCAUGGCGCGGUGAAUACGUUCCCGGGCCUUGUACACACCGCCCGUCAAGCCAUGAAAGCCGGGGGUACCUGAAGUGCGUAACCGCAAGGGGCGCCCUAGGGUAAAACCGGUGAUUGGGGCUAAGUCGUAACAAGGUAGCCGUACCGGAAGGUGCGGCUGGAACACCUCCUUU
This 683-nucleotide ribosomal RNA is filed under the name Bacteroides gallinaceum. Its description in RNAcentral is "bacterial SSU rRNA". It matches the Rfam family "Bacterial small subunit ribosomal RNA", at positions 839 to 1533 of the family's 1533-position model. The record is from RNAcentral. Lineage: Bacteria; Pseudomonadati; Bacteroidota; Bacteroidia; Bacteroidales; Bacteroidaceae.